AAGUUGGGGGUGAAAUCACGGGUCUCAACCUCGGAACUGCCUUCAAGACUACCAGUCUAGAGUUCGAGAGAGGUGAGUGGAAUUCCGAGUGUAGAGGUGAAAUUCGUAGAUAUUCGGAGGAACACCAGUGGCGAAGGCGGCUCACUGGCUCGAUACUGACGCUGAGGUGCGAAAGCGUGGGGAGCAAACAG
RNAcentral lists this ribosomal RNA (191 nucleotides) under uncultured bacterium. RNAcentral describes it as "partial 16S ribosomal RNA". It matches the Rfam family "Bacterial small subunit ribosomal RNA", at positions 585 to 775 of the family's 1533-position model. The record is from RNAcentral.